This 459-nucleotide ribosomal RNA is filed under the name uncultured Pelotomaculum sp. Its description in RNAcentral is "bacterial SSU rRNA". It matches the Rfam family "Bacterial small subunit ribosomal RNA", at positions 924 to 1382 of the family's 1533-position model. The record is from RNAcentral. Lineage: Bacteria; Bacillati; Bacillota; Clostridia; Eubacteriales; Desulfotomaculaceae.
CACAAGCGGUGGAGCAUGUGGUUUAAUUCGACGCAACGCGAAGAACCUUACCAGGGCUUGACAUCCCCUGACCGCGUAUGAAAGUACGUUUUCACCUCGGGUGACAGGGAGACAGGUGGUGCAUGGUUGUCGUCAGCUCGUGUCGUGAGAUGUUGGGUUAAGUCCCGCAACGAGCGCAACCCCUACGUUUAGUUGCUAACGCGUGAAGGCGAGCACUCUAGACGAACUGCCGUUGACAAAACGGAGGAAGGUGGGAUGACGUCAAAUCAUCAUGCCCCUUAUGUUCUGGGCUACACACGUGCUACAAUGGCCGGUACAGACGGACGCAAAGCCGCGAGGUGGAGCAAAUCCUAAAAAGCCGGUCUCAGUUCGGAUUGCAGGCUGCAAUUCGCCUGCAUGAAGUCGGAAUCGCUAGUAAUCGCAGGUCAGCAUACUGCGGUGAAUACGUUCCCGGGCCUU